AAUAUAGCAGCAGGAGCACAUGAAGAGGCUAGUCAUCGUGUUGGAUCCGACGAGAGACAACCACUUCUUCCAACUUAAAGUUUUAGGGAGGAGGGAAUUUGUUUUGGUAGGGACCCAGGUAUUGUUGGAUAGUGACAGAGAUAAACCAGUUUUCGCUCGAGACGUUUAAUGGAAUUGAAAGAAAUUUGUAAAAUGAGAAACCCUUAAAUUGUGGUCAUUUGUUAUAAUUUUCGUUCAUGGGUCUGAAUGGAUGCUUGGUAGAGGAAGUGCAGUGGUAUUGGCUCGGCUUGUUGCGGAGUUCUUCCUGAUUUCUGCCUAGCCUCCACUCCACACUGCCUUUUCAGAAAAAUGUAUGAUGUGGCGUUAUUUGUUUUAUUUCGACAACAUACAGAUUACAGGGAGACGGCGAGCAAUUUUUGUUUGUUUAUUCGGUUGUUAUUUAUCUUUUUUAAAAGGUAAACAGUCUUUUUUGUUUGUCAUCAAAUUUAAAAAAAAAAAAUCGAGUCACUUAUAUGUUAAA
Molecule: RNA transcript, 520 nt
Organism: Gossypium raimondii (Peruvian cotton)
Lineage: Eukaryota; Viridiplantae; Streptophyta; Magnoliopsida; Malvales; Malvaceae
Exons: 3
Source: RefSeq, a predicted model, not a curated record